AGCAGCCGCGGUAAUUCCAGCUCCAAUAGCGUAUAUUAAAGUUGCUGCAGUUAAAAAGCUCGUAGUUGAAUUUCGGGAUCAAUAUGUUGGUCGUGCCUUGGUGCGUACUAGUUUAUUGAUUUCUCCCUUCUGACGAACUAUGAUGCCAUUAAUUUGGUGUCAUGGGGAAUCAGGACUGUUACUUUGAAAAAUUAGAGUGUUUAAAGCAGGCUCACGCUUGAAUACAUUAGCAUGGAAUAAUAAAAUAGGACGUUUGAUUCUAUUUUGUUGGUUUCUAGGAUCGACGUAAUGAUUAAUAGGGAUAGUUGGGGGCAUUAGUAUUCAAUUGUCAGAGGUGAAAUUCUUGGAUUUAUUGAAGACUAACUACUGCGAAAGCAUUUGCCAAGGAUGUUUUCAUUAAUCAAGAACGAAAGUUAGGGGAUCGAAGACGAUCAGAUACCGUCGUAGUCUUAACCAUAAACUAUGCCGACUAGGGAUCGGAUGAUGUAAUUUUUAAUGA
Molecule: ribosomal RNA, 499 nt
Filed under: uncultured Glomus
Lineage: Eukaryota; Fungi; Glomeromycota; Glomeromycetes; Glomerales; Glomeraceae
Description: SSU rRNA
Rfam family: Eukaryotic small subunit ribosomal RNA
Source: RNAcentral